GACCAUAGCAAGAGUGAACCACCUGAUCCCUUCCCGAACUCAGAAAGAAGUGAAACCUCUUAGCGCUGAUGGUAGUGUGGGAUUACCCAUGUGAGAGUAAGUCAUCGCCAGCU
Molecule: ribosomal RNA, 113 nt
Filed under: Acinetobacter baumannii
Lineage: Bacteria; Pseudomonadati; Pseudomonadota; Gammaproteobacteria; Moraxellales; Moraxellaceae
Source: RNAcentral